Molecule: long non-coding RNA, 2595 nt
Organism: Ornithodoros turicata
Lineage: Eukaryota; Metazoa; Arthropoda; Arachnida; Ixodida; Argasidae
Exons: 2
Source: RefSeq, a predicted model, not a curated record
CUUCCGUAUCCGGUCAGCUGUAAUGGAUGCCGUAUGCCGAGCUUGCGAACUGCGAACAUGUGUGACUCCCGGUUCAUCCUCUUUGUUCGGGUCAUUGGGUUGGUGUUGGAGUUGGUCGCCAUAUUCUGAACGUUUCACCUAUCGUUGCGGUGUACUGUUCUUGAUCUGCUGCGAAGCGACGAACCGCAACGGCAGUCACUCGCCUCAGCGAAAUUCUGUCUGCUGCAUCUCAAAGGAGCAUGGGGACCUGAUGAUACCUUCAACUAAAGAAACCAAGUGUGCUCUCGUGUGGUCCUGACGGAAAAGUAGUUUAAACAAGGUUAGCAGAUUUAUUUUUCAGUUCCAAGUCUACGUACUGAAAACCAUGCAAGUGCAGUCGAUCAUUCUCGUAGCUGUUGUGUAACGCGUAUGCUUUCUUACGUAUCCCACAGAACCCUCCACUUUUUCAACCAGGGGCCCUAUCCUCGUCAAAAGUAAUCGACCUCGAUUACUUUACGUCACAAGCUGUAGGGCGGGGCUGCCACGAAAUACUCCGCCCAUAAAUCCCGCCCGUUUCAAUUGAAAUUUAUACCUAGUUUUCCUUCGCAGCCUCUCGGCCCUAAUCUAGGACCGUGACCCUACGUCAUUUUGACGUAACAAUGACGUAAAAGAUUAGGUUCAAAGCUGAAAAGUAAUGUAGCGAAAGAGGGUCAUUUACUUUGAGCGGCGAUGGGUUUCGUGAUGGGUCCGCAUGUGCAUUUCCACUUACUGUGUUGUAUAAAGUCUGUAUGUGCUCGUCACAACAAAAAAGUCCUAUCUUUCUUCGUUUUUGUUUAAUAAUGAUAGAAAAGCACCGCGUAACACCGUUUCUCUGCGCCGAUCGCGGCAUCGUAUGCGUGAAAGUGGCGGGCUUUUCGAAGCGUCGUCCGAGCCGUACGUCGUACGAUCAAUGUUAUUGCAACGUAGCGGUGUGCACACAAAAAACUCAUCGAUCAAAGUUCACUGUUUGUUGAGUAAAACUAUCAACGCUCAUUUGCGGUAUCAUUACCACCCCCACAGCUCACGAGAAAAAGAAGCAUAUUGAAAUGCGAAUUAUCAUUUCGCAUAUCGAGCACACGAACACACAGAAAAAUAUAAAGAAAAGCUCAUAAAUAAAGCUAAAGAUUUAAACACGAACAGAUUUCUCAUGAACGCAUUUACGGCUCGCGCCACACUGUCCGUUCGACCCUUUGCAAUGAUCCUUCGCGCUUUCAUCGUUUUGUUGCCUGCCAUCAGAGCCAUCUCACGGGCACAUACCGAAUUAUAAAUGCAAAGUACAAUCACGGUGUCACAUAAACAUUUCCGUCUUGCACACCUGUACGUCAAGAAAAAUGACAAACAGCAAAAAAGGAAACUACGAGCGUGCUUUUCCGCGCAUUUUCCACGAAAUUCAGUUUUACGCCGGUAGAGUUUUCUGUUUCCGACACCUAAGCACCCAUGUAAGCACCGAAGCAACAAGGCAGGCCGGGCAGAUCACAGGUGUGGCCGAUAAGGCGGGUCGCUUUCCAAGAUAACACGUGGGGCGAUUGGUUGAUAGAAGGUGUCAACAGCUUUUAAUAUUCACGCCUUUUUCGAUUGUGCACCAAUGACAGAAGAAAUUUCAAGUAAUCGAGGUAGAUUACUUUGACCAGGAUAGAGCCCCAAGUUAUCUUUAUGAGAUCCUUCUGAUGGCUUCUUACUAGGCUAUGCCGCUCCGAAGCAUUGAGAUGGGGAAGCGUCGUGGUAGCUGCACCUCCGCUUUCGAAAGACGAAACAGUCUUUCCACACUGUGCUUACUGGCUUUGUAUAGAGUCUGGCAAAUCCGACAGACUUGGACAGCCUUUUUCAAGAAAGUUUGAAAUGUUAAAGCAUCCCUUAUGCACCUGCAUUUCAAUUCCAAUCUGUAUUACAAGAAUGACAGACCACUCAACAGAGAUGAACAUCUGAAAGUGAAAGAGCUGGAACGAAGAUACGUUAAUCUGUGUCAAAGGUUCUUAGUAUGUGUGCGAGUCGAGGACAUAGGUCUCAAGCUAAUUCCUGUCUUCAGAAGAGGUGACAACUAUGCUCCUUCUAUCUAUUAACCAGCUCCACUUUUUAGGGUUCCCUGUAAACUAAUGGAGCACAUCAUGUACUACCACGUUGUCAACCAAGUUGAGUCUGUCGAUUUCUUUUUUUAAAUUCCAGCAUGGCUUUAGAAAAGGGUAUUCAAGCAGAACUAACUUAGUGGAAUUCGUUCACAGCAUUUUGAACUGUCUUGAUUUCUGGGUCCACGUAGAUGUAGUAUUUUUUUAUUUUGUAAGGGCUUUUGACACUGUGCUGUAUGCUUGCGUGUUGGCCAAAGUAGCCGAAUUAAAAUUUGAUCCUGCUAACUGGAUAUGCAGUUUCUCAACUAACCGUAACCGUUGCGACAACUCGUGAGGAGAACCUAUCAUAUCGCCACCAUGCAGCAUUUGUUAUGUUACAAUCACUUCACAUUUUAAUCUAGUCAAAAGCAAGGCCUUUUGGUGAUCGGUCUUGUAUGAUUACAUGCCCCUCCGUUAUGUAACCCCACACUGGGUUCUUCAACCUAUGAGAGAUAAAUAAAUAUAUUUCCAAGUA